GGCCUCGAUGGUGUAGUGGUAACACGCGUCCCCGGUAUGGAUGGAAACACGGGUUCAACUCUCGUACGAGGUCG
Parelaphostrongylus tenuis is the source of this 74-nucleotide non-coding RNA. NCBI's taxonomy places the organism in Eukaryota, Metazoa, Nematoda, Chromadorea, Rhabditida, Metastrongylidae. The record is from the annotation of a GenBank genome assembly.